RNAcentral lists this ribosomal RNA (936 nucleotides) under Triticum aestivum (bread wheat). RNAcentral's name for it is "partial small subunit ribosomal RNA". Lineage: Eukaryota; Viridiplantae; Streptophyta; Magnoliopsida; Poales; Poaceae. The record is from RNAcentral.
AUGGCCAGCGUUGGCGGCGAUGCCAAGAAGAGCCUGACGCAGUGGCUCGGGGAGAAAGGGUUCGACGAGGAGGCCAUCAGGCGCAUGUCGAAGCGGUGCAGGAACCUGCCGAACCUCGACGCCGGCGAGGCCUCCGGCGUCUGGGACUACCUCCUCAACGACGUCAAGAUCGAGCACCGGAAGCUGCGGUACGUGGUGACCAAGUGCCCCAAGGUGCUCACCAUGUCCGUCAACGACAAGCUCAUCCCCACGGUCCAAUGCCUCACCACGCUGCAGGCCAAGCCCGGGGAGAUCGCGCAGGCCAUCAUCAAGUUCCCGCCGAUACUGUUCCACAGCGUGGAGGAGAAGCUCUGCCCUCUCCUCGCCUUCUUCCAGACGCUGGCCAUCUCCGAGAAGCAGCUCGCCAAGCUGCUCAUGGUCAACCCGCGCCUCAUCAGCUACAGCAUCCAGGCCAAGUUCUCCCAGACGGUCGACUUCCUCGUCGGCCUUGGCAUCGACAGGGAGGUCAUGAUUGGCAAGAUCCUGACCAAGGAGCCGUACAUCAUGGGAUACAGCAUCGACAAGCGGCUACGUCCUACUGCCGAGUUCCUCAAGUCGGCAGUCGGGUUGCAGGGGUCAUAUCUCCAGAGGGUCAUCAUGAAUUUCCCUAGCAUACUGUCGCGAGAUGUCGACAAGACUCUGCGGCCCAAUUUGGUGUUCCUGCAGAGCACUGGAUUCAGCAAGGAUCAGAUCAUGAAAUUGGUGGCUGGAUACCCUCCUGUUCUCAUCAAGAGUAUCAAGCAUUGCUUGGAGCCAAGGGUGAAGUUCCUGGUUGAAGAAAUGGGGCGGGACAAGGGCGAGGUGGUGGAUUACCCCCAAUUCUUUCACCAUGGUCUCAAGAGGAGCCUGGAGUACCGCCACAAGAUACUCAAGCAGAUGAACUCAAGGUGGAUCUGA